RNAcentral lists this long non-coding RNA (1351 nucleotides) under Helianthus annuus (common sunflower). RNAcentral describes it as "sRNA HanXRQr2_Chr05g0201681". Lineage: Eukaryota; Viridiplantae; Streptophyta; Magnoliopsida; Asterales; Asteraceae. The record is from RNAcentral.
GAAAAAAUCAAAAUUCAAAAACCUCAUAUCUGCUUCUCAACUUUUGAAUUCCCCAAAUGUAUCUGAAAACGUUUGUUGCCUCUCUCUGUCUCACAUUUUGAAAACCCUAGACUACUGCAUCAGUACAAGAUCGACGACCUAUGGGUGGUUUUUACUCAUCUUCUUCUUCUACUCUCUCUUUCUUUCCUACAAAUUCAUACUCUCAAAGAAACACUAUGUAGAUUUAGGAUUAGAUCUGUCAGACUCGUGGAGCUUUGGGGGACGAAAGAUAGUGACGGUGGUGAUGAUUUGGUUACAGCCUUCUAUACGGUGGUGGUCCUUAAGAGCCACGUAAACACCGUCAACGGUUCCAAGGUUAAAACAAUGAGGAAGACCAUGACAGAAAACCCUAGCCAUCGCCUCCCGCGAUGGCGGCUAGGUUCCGACGAAGCUUCAUGGUUCUGCCACCCGAGCGCCAGUAGAGGAGACUAAGGUUCCGGCGAAUGUAAAGCCAUCGGUGACUGAACCACCAGUGCUGGCGGUUGCAUUAGUGGAGCAGGACAAUGUGAAUACUUCAAGGGUUGUGCAGGACGAACAAGACAUGGGUUGAUUAGUGAUGAUGAUAUGUACGGCCAGGUACUCAAAGUUUAGCCCUUUUUGAGUAUGAGUUGGGUUUGCAAUUGAGCAUGGGCUGAUUAGUAAUUUUUUUUCCAUCAGAAUUGUUUGAUUAAAUAUUUGUUAUAAAUCUUAAUUAUAGGGUAAUACAUCCCUAAAGUCAGUGUAUUAUGAUAAACAUUCUAUUUUGCAAGAACUUUAUAGCUGCGUAAUGUGGUGAUUGAAGAAAGUUACUGAUCACCAAAAGUAACAAAAGAUAGUUUAACUGUUGUAAAACGCAUCAAAUUUUAUUGAAUACAGUCAAGAAUGUUGGUUCAAGUCUGGUGAAACAAGAUGCUAAUGCUAAAAACAAUGUUGCUGGUGUUGGCACUACUUGGGCAACAUUCCUUACACGAGAAAUAUUCUUAGAAGUGUGCAAAUCGGCUGCAACUGGUAUGAAUGCAAUGGGUCAGAAUGGUUUUGGGUGUAUGAUAAUAGAUUUGGGUAUAUGUAUAUCUAACAAAAUAAACGGGGUAGCGGGUCAGAAUGGUUUUGUGUCACGAGUCAUUUAAAACGGUCAUUUGGGUUUGGGUCAGAAUGGUUUUGUAUAACUGGGUAUAGAUCAAAACAGGUUGUUUUAAAAAAAAGGAGAAUAUUGUAAGCAAACAUUACCAAAACCCAAAAGAUGACCAUGAAAACAAAUAUUUAACUUGCAAAAUAUGCAAAGAUACAAUUUAAUGAUAUUAAUACAACUUUUUGGCGUAUUUUGUGUUCUUGU